This 72-nucleotide transfer RNA is filed under the name Caudoviricetes sp. Its description in RNAcentral is "tRNA-Glu". It matches the Rfam family "tRNA". Rfam says of the family: Transfer RNA (tRNA) molecules are approximately 80 nucleotides in length. Their secondary structure includes four short double-helical elements and three loops (D, anti-codon, and T loops). Lineage: Duplodnaviria; Heunggongvirae; Uroviricota; Caudoviricetes. The record is from RNAcentral.
AGCGCCAUCAUCUAAGGGUUAGGAUACAAGAUUUUCAUUCUUGGCAUACAGGUUCGAAUCCCGUUGGCGUUA